RNAcentral lists this ribosomal RNA (489 nucleotides) under uncultured bacterium. RNAcentral describes it as "SSU rRNA". It matches the Rfam family "Bacterial small subunit ribosomal RNA", at positions 26 to 518 of the family's 1533-position model. The record is from RNAcentral.
AGAAUUAACGCUGGCAGAGUGCAUAACACAUGCAAGUCGAGCGGAAUACGUCGCAAGACGUAUUUAGCGGCAGACGAGUGAGUAACACGUAAAUAAUCUACCCCCGAAUGACGAAUAACCUGUCGAAAGGCAGGCUAAUGCGUCGUACUCUCCCCGGAAGGCAUCUUUCAGGGAGGAUAGACCCGCAAGGGUUGUUCAGGGAGGAGUUUGCGGCCCAUCAGCUAGUUGGCGGUGUAACGGACCACCAAGGCUACGACGGGUACCCGGGCUGAAAGGCCGGACGGGCACGAUGGCACUGAGACACGGGCCAUACUCCUACGGGAGGCAGCAGUGGGGAAUCUUGGACAAUGGGCGAAAGCCUGAUCCAGCAACUCUGCGUGAGGGACGAAGGUCUUCGGAUUGUAAACCUCUUUUACAUGGGACGAAAUCCCGCAAGGGUCUGACGGUACCAUGCGAAUAAGCAACGGCUAACUAUGCGCCAGCAGCCGC